GUCCUAGCCGUAAACGAUGGGCACUAGGUGUGGGGGGACGAUCCCUCCGUGCCGCAGCUAACGCAUUAAGUGCCCCGCCUGGGGAGUACGGCCGCAAGGCUAAAACUCAAAAGGAAUUGACGGGGGCCCGCACAAGCAGCGGAGCAUGUGGCUUAAUUCGAAGCAACGCGAAGAACCUUACCAGGGCUUGACAUCUAGGUGAAGCGGGGGAAACCUCGUGGCCGAGAGGAGCCUAGACAGGUGGUGCAUGGCUGUCGU
This 258-nucleotide ribosomal RNA is filed under the name uncultured bacterium. RNAcentral describes it as "partial 16S ribosomal RNA". It matches the Rfam family "Bacterial small subunit ribosomal RNA", at positions 793 to 1055 of the family's 1533-position model. The record is from RNAcentral.